CCUGCCCCUAGAAGCAUUGCAGAUGUGGCUGCUGUGUCACAUGUGUGUCAAUAGGUGGCAGAGAGGAGAGAUAAUCUGUCUACACUUAGUAUUCCUACCUAUGACUAUCUGAAUGAUUUGUAGCCUAGAAUU
Grammomys surdaster is the source of this 132-nucleotide small nucleolar RNA. RefSeq annotates it as small nucleolar RNA SNORA17. The record is from RefSeq and is a predicted model, not a curated record. Lineage: Eukaryota; Metazoa; Chordata; Mammalia; Rodentia; Muridae. The transcript has a single exon.